Molecule: ribosomal RNA, 446 nt
Filed under: uncultured bacterium
Lineage: Bacteria
Description: bacterial SSU rRNA
Rfam family: Bacterial small subunit ribosomal RNA
Source: RNAcentral
CUGCAAGUCGUACGAGAAAUCCUGAGCAAUCGGGAGAGUAAAGUGGCGCACGGGUGAGUAACGCGUGGGUAACCUACCCUUGAAUUUGGGAUAACUUCCUCGAAAGCGGGGUUAAUACCGAAUAAUAUUCCAAUUUCUUUGGAACUUAGAAUCAAAGGUGGCCUCUGCAUGCAAGCUAUCGUUUAAGGAUGGGCCCGCGUACCAUUAGCUUGUUGGUGGGGUAAUGGCCUACCAAGGCAACGAUGGUUAGCUGGUCUGAGAGGAUGGUCAGCCACACUGGAACUGAGACACGGUCCAGACUCCUACGGGAGGCAGCAGUGGGGAAUCUUGCGCAAUGGGGGAAGCCCUGACGCAGCAACGCCGCGUGGGUGAUGAAGGCCUUCGGGUCGUAAAGCCCUGUCAGGUGGGAAGAAACUUAUGGAUGUUAAUACCAUCCAUGCUGGACG